RNAcentral lists this non-coding RNA (31 nucleotides) under Rattus norvegicus (Norway rat). Lineage: Eukaryota; Metazoa; Chordata; Mammalia; Rodentia; Muridae. The record is from RNAcentral.
GCCCAGAUGCUCGGACCAUAGAGAGGGCCUA